GGGGGGAGGCCGGAUCCUGGGCUGUGUCCCGGCGCCCUGUGCUCCGGGGCCUGCGCUGUUGGAUUCGCGCUCCCGGACCACGCAACCCCCU
This is a non-coding RNA of Canis lupus familiaris (dog), 91 nucleotides long. NCBI's taxonomy places the organism in Eukaryota, Metazoa, Chordata, Mammalia, Carnivora, Canidae. The record is from Rfam.